Molecule: ribosomal RNA, 429 nt
Filed under: uncultured archaeon
Lineage: Archaea
Description: bacterial SSU rRNA
Rfam family: Archaeal small subunit ribosomal RNA
Source: RNAcentral
UACCUGCAGCUCAAGUGGUGACCGCUAUUAUUGGGCCUAAAACGUUCGUAGCCGGUUUGGUAAAUGCCUGGGUAAAUCGUGUAGCUUAACUAUACGAAUUCCGGGUAGACUGCUAAACUUGAGACCGGGAGAAGCUAGAGGUACUCCUGGGGUAGAGGUGAAAUUCUGUAAUCCUGGGGGGACCACCAGUGGCGAAGGCGUCUAGCUAGGACGGGUCUGACGGUGAGGAACGAAGCCCUGGGGCGCAAACCGGAUUAGAUACCCGGGUAGUCCAGGGUGUAAACGCUGCUUGCUUGAUGUUAGUUGGGCUCCGAGCCCAAUUAGUGUCGGAGAGAAGUUGUUAAGCAAGCUGCCUGGGAAGUACGAUCGCAAGAUUGAAACUUAAAGGAAUUGGCGGGGGAGCACAGCAACGGGUGGAGCGUGCGGUUU